Molecule: long non-coding RNA, 5816 nt
Filed under: Sus scrofa (pig)
Lineage: Eukaryota; Metazoa; Chordata; Mammalia; Artiodactyla; Suidae
Description: lncRNA (ENSSSCG00050055852.1)
Source: RNAcentral
AGGGGAUGAAUUGGAGCUACAGCUACUGGCCACAGCCACAGCCACAGCCACACUAGAUCCAAGCCACAUCUGCAACCUAUGCUGCAGCUUGUGGCAAAGCUGGAUCCUUAACCCACUGAGCAAGGCCAGGGAUUGAGCCUGUGUCCUCAUGGAUACUAGCCAGGUUCAUUUCCACUGGGCCACAAAGCAAACUCCUAUUCCUAAUUCUUAAAGAAGAUUUUUGAGUGUGUGUCUGUGAAAUGUAAUGCUAAAUUAACAAGAGAUUUUUCCAAAGUUUCUAAGAAAACUUCUGUGCAUCAAUGAAGGCCACAGUUUUUAAUUCAUUCGUGUAAUUAAUUGCAAUCAUAUUUUAAAGGAAAAUUAUUAGAAUGAAGAUCAGGAUAGAAGACUUGCCCUAGCACGCAGUACCGCUGAGAAGAGACAUUACGGCCCAUUUUCCACUUCACAUUCAGGGGUUCUGCAGCUAUUAUUUCUUAUUUAGGAAGUAAAAUUGACUGCACCUGGGCAUAUUAUUAGCUGCUCACCACAGGGAGCCUCAUGCUGAUGGGCUAUAAUUUAGCAGAGAGAGAAAAAAAAAAGGCAAGCCAAUUAGAAUGAAGCACACCGUCUGAUGCCCUUUCACUGACUGUUUGUCAGAAUUUAUUAUCUUCUAUUGAACAAAUAAGGGAUAAUUAGAAAAGGAAUAAGCGUGACAUCAUCAGAAUUGGGGGACAAAUUACUUCUCCUGCACAUGAAGAAGAAGUCUGAGUCCUGCCCAAGGAGACAAGCUCCCCCACCGACUGGCGUCCCCCGAAAUUCACAGGGCAUGUGAGAGAAGGCUGGCCAGCCCCUGACCUCACCACCAGUUCAUUUGCACCACCAUUCUGAUUCCUGGUGGUCACCCAAUUCCUUCUGGUAGUACUGCCUGGGGGACCAGACGCCCAAAGGUCCUGGACUCUAAGACUCGAGUGGGCUGCACUGGCCUGGGACGCAUGGCACGUGGCACACAGGUCAUGGUAGAGGAACAAGUGUGUCCUGUCAUCUCAUGGGGAAGACUGUGGCAGCCGGUGCCAAGACCCUCCAGGAUUUGCCUGAUGCAUCUUCUCCCUGCGGUGACACAGCUAUACAUCCUUUCACUGGAAUAAACUGCCUGGGAGCCCUGAGUCCUGAGCCACUGAACUUGAGAGUGCUCACAGGAUACCAAAAACAAACAAAGAAAUCAGGACAAAAGCAAGUCACAGAGGGGAUGCUGCUGCUCGGAUCCCUGAACACGAGGCCACCGCCUGCCCGCUCUCAGCCCCUAGUAACACUGAACGUCUCUAGACUCCGGUGCGGUCGAUAUUCUGGGCCAGAUAAUUCUUUGCUGUGGACAUUCUGUGCAUUGCAGGAAGUUUACUAACAGCACCCCUGUCCUCAACACAUGGGUGUCGACGGCGCCCUCUGAUCAUGACCGUCAGACGUGCCUGCCAACACAGCCACAGGAUGCUGGAGGGGGGGCAAAGCCACCCUGGCUAGCUUUGGUCACACCUGGAAAUGGAGACUCUACUGCCCCCACUUCUCCUGUGUCCUCCUCCCGCCCAAACUCACGUGGCAGAUGAGUCCCCAGACAGGAAGGACGAGCAGACUCGAGGCACCGGGCACAGGGCAGCACUGCGGGGCCUUCAUCCAUCCCUGCAGCUGCCUGUGCUGAGGGAGGGGUCAAGGUAAGAGCAAGCCAGCGUCUGCUUCCCCAGGGAGUCUUCCUGACCUAUGUUCCGGCUCCUGAAUUAAUGGCUGUGUGGGGCUGAUUAAAAUACAGCAUUGCCUUAAGAAGGUAGAGCCUGGUGAUUCAUCUCUGAGAAGAAGGCAACUGCUGGUUAGUGCAGAGAAAAUCAAUAGGCUUCUGGGUGUCUCUCAAGAUGGGGGCCCCCUUAUUCAUAAAAUCUAUGAAUAAAUGUUUUUUUUAAGAGUCCCCUGAUGAAAUCCACAGGUGAGCUCUCUGUGGCCUGUGACCUGUGGAACUCGUCCUUGGCACGGGCUGAGGGAGGCGGGUGCAGGACGGGCUGGGGGGCUGUCCCAUCCUGCUGCUCCUCACAGCCUGUGUCACUGUCACCUCCACACCGGAGGCUGGAAGGAGCAGUGUCGGAAGGACCACAAACCUACAUCCUGGACCUCCGGGUUUCUGCUGCCUAAGUUUUCCUGGCAGGUCCACUCUGCAGAGCACUUGAUAUAUUCGGACUGACUUAAUUUGAAUAGUGGAGGUGAGUAAAUUACAUCAGGUUAACGACAUUCCUCCGGGUUGAAAGACUCAAAGAAAAAAAUCAAUAUUUUAGGGGUAAUGUUUUUCAACAAAAUAUAACUCACUCUAAUCUUCUUCUUUGGAUGAAGGUAUAAUUUACAUAUAAUAGCAUUCACUCUUUUUAACGUGUACUUCUGCAAAAUUUUGACAAAAGCGUGGCGUGAGAUAAGCAUGGCCACAGUCAAGUAAGACGUGACCUAGAUGCUGCCGCCCCUGGCUUUCCUCUCUGCUGCACCGAGAGAGUGAUCAGGGAGGAAGUGAGGGCUGGUGCGGAACGGAGCCCUGGACCAGCCACAGAAAUAGAACACGGAAGGCAUCGGAUUAGGAAAGGAGGAAAGUCACCUUUUUGUACCAAUUACCCCCACCGUGAGAACCAUCUCUAAAACAGACGAAAGAUUUGUAAAUACUCAGUUGACCCGUGGCUUAGUUGAGGCUCAAGUUCGUGUAUGUUCCGUGAGUGAAAAUCGCCUCCUGCCUAAUCAGGAAACAAAGGAUGUCGCAGGCAUCAGGCCAUCCCAGCACAGGGGACCCAGUGAGGAGCCCCGAGGGGACGCAGGCUGGGAAAGCAUAGGGUCCAGGCCCCAGAGGGCUGAGGGAACAUGAAAGGCGUGACUGCAAUGAGCCCAGGCUCUUGCACCUUCCCAUGCAUAGUUGGCUCUCUUCAGUCAGCUGUCUGUCCUCUUUGGAUGCUCCAACUAUCUAGCCUUUGUUGCAAAAGCCCCUCUCUCUCAAGCUCCUCCCUGACCUCCUCAGAGCUGUCCCUCAGAGCCAUCCGACAGGCUAUGCCCCAUGUUCAGGUCCUCAGUUCUGCUCACCAAAUAAGACAUGGCUCUCUACAUUUUGGUUGUAUUUUUUUCCCAGUCGACAGGCCCCUGGAACACUGCUGGGAACCCACAGUGAUCAUCGUCCUUCUCUCUUCUCAUCCCUCGACCUUCGCCUGGCGCCCUCGGUCAGGACACUUUCCUAACUCUAAAGCCGAAGCGAAACAAAACAAAACAAAGAUCUGCAUGUCAGCCUCGCUGGCGGAGGUGCAGGAAAAGGUGCACUCCAGGGGAAAGCGAGAAGACCAGCAGAGGGUCUCCGACCCUGGGUUUCUUCAUCUCUGCCAGGGUUCUGUAGCUUGGACCUAACUGAGAGUCACACAUUCCGCCCCAUCUGGCAGGGAUUUAAUUUCUUUCCGCCCCGCCCCACCCGAUCCGUCCCCUCGGAAAAAACAGCGCUGCCUUCAUUUGCAUAUGUAUCUCACGCUUCCUGAUGAACAUGUGUUUCUGUUUCAAAUGUUUCUCUUCUGAAUUGGUCUUCACAUUUUCCCAGCUCCCCCAACCAAACAAGUUACAUAAAUGUUCAAUGCACGUUCAUUUUUCUGAUCUGCAUGAAGUGUCUUUUAAGGUCGGUGAGAGCUGCCCCUCCCGAACACCAAGGGGAGGGGUCCAGUUUGGAGGUAAGAUUUGAAGGGUUCUGGGGCAGCCCACGCUGGAUGCCUCUGGGCUCUUUGUGGCUUGAGGUCAGGACUAGACCAAGCCCAGCUCCAGCUUUCAGGUAGCGCUUUUGACUGAGCUGGCUCAGAGCCUACCCUCAGGGAAUAUUUGUCUAGAAUAAAAAGCAUGUAGCACUGAUUUCUAUGUAUCCAAUACCCCCCCCAAAAAAGCCCUAUUAAGGGUUACAAUGUGCUUACUCCUUGUACUGUAACUGGACCUAAUGAAGAAACAGCACAUUAGUUCCCUAAGUAAAUUUCAAUUCGUUACUAAAUUAAUAGUUAUCCUCAUGUACAUCAAACAUUGUCGGCACUUUCGACACAGCCUGUCAGAAGCUAGUACCACCCACAAAUACAACCAAUUAAAUAAAUAAUGGAAGUAAAAUGACUUCCACCCGACUGAAUGGCUAGCAGAGCCUGUGCUGGCUCUAUCAAGUCCCCUUUCCCCAGCACACCAUUUUCUGAGAAGGAGAUCUGCAGGUGGACCUGGGCUGCCUUUUUCACUGAAGACUGCAUAAAAUAUUUUGAAGCUAUUUAGAGGGAACACAUUAAAAACAACUUCCAUACCGGAGGUUAAGUGGCAGAAAUCUUUAUAGAGAAAAGUCCCUUUGUUUUGCAUGCUAUUCCGCGAGUGCAGUGAACUUAUUAAGAGCUUUGAUGUAGCAAAAAUUGUGAUGUGCAUAUGUACAAAUGAUCCAAACACAGCAAAAAGCAGCUACAGAAAUCAAGAAAGAGGCUUUCUAACAAAUGCAUUCUGAACUGGAUCAAAGGGAUAGCCUGGCAGCUACAUGCCAGGGAUCUAACAUUCAUUACAUUUUCAUUUCAAGGAAACAUCUUUUGCAACAGAAAGGUGAAGUCUAUCUGUAAUGAGCUUCUUCUAAGGCAGGAGGAAAGCUUCUUUUCAAACAAGAGACUAAAUAAAUACAGCACCUCUGUGAGGCUCUGCAAACAGAAAGGUGCAGAGUACUCACCUUUGCAACAGGGGAGAGGCCCCUUGAAAGCAGCUGGGGAUUUGCAAUCAUUUUUCGCAUCUUCCUCCUCCCCCAGAAUAUUCUGACUUUAAUAUGUAAAUAUGUGGUCAAGAGAAAACACUUGCCGGGAGAGUGGGUGUUUUUGUUUUGUUUUGUUGCUGAAGGUAAAAACACUGGAAAUCAUGUCCCCCCCAAAGCUCGCCUGGAUCUGAUCGGACGACGCCCACCACUCAACCCACAGCCCAAGGGUGCUCUUCUCUUAGAACUUGAUAAAGGACAGGAUUUUUCCAGUGAGUUCACGCGCAGAAGGCUUUCUCGUCUCCCCGUGUGCACGUGGAGCUUUCUGGCUUUCUGAACACACCCGCCCAUCCCCACUACCAUCCCCCCAGGCCCGCCCAGUACAGCAACGCGGCGUCCUAACAGGACACUGGGCUGCGCCCUUCCCUGCCGGGCCCCCGCCUGGUCCCUCAGCCUCUCCACACCUCAUCUUCCAUUUCACUAGCAGGGAAAAUCGUCCUUGCUCCUAUCAUUGGGCUACAAUGAAAUAAAACAGAACUGACUCUCCAUUAGCUCCUGGCAACACAACACAAGGAGGAAAUAGAUGAAGAAGGCUCGGAGAGAGAGAAUCCUUCUUCAGACCUGUCUUUUCUGAACAUCUACCUCAAAUGAUAUGUCCCCAGCAAUGCUGCAAGAUAACCACACAGGAGAAAAAAAAAAUGCUUUUUUUUUUCUUUUUCCUUCCAAGCCCUUAGGAAGGAGGCUAAGGAUUACAAAGUAGGGAAAGAGAACAGCCGCAUCUCCAGAUGGGGUAGUGGACACCUGGAGCACAGGACCCACGGAAGAUGCUUGGAAUCACGGCCUCUUGGAAGGCAGAACAUUCUUCCAAAGAAAAGGAGGAAGCCUGGAGAAAGACGAAAGUCAAUACCAGCGCUUUUGCGUCCCUAAACACUGGCCCACCAGGAGGGCUAAGGUGGCUGCACAGGGGCCUGGGGCCCAGAGGGGAGGGGUAGGUGAGGAAGCCCUCAGUUUGCUUUCCUCUUGGCUAUAGUUUACCUCCUAUUGGCUCUUACUGUAACUGAGCAGGACCCUCUGGGGCCUUCCCAGGACAGACCCC